Molecule: non-coding RNA, 76 nt
Organism: Podarcis lilfordi (Lilford's wall lizard)
Lineage: Eukaryota; Metazoa; Chordata; Lepidosauria; Squamata; Lacertidae
Source: the annotation of a GenBank genome assembly
GGUGUGUGUGGUGCAGUGGUUAGCGUGUCAGACUAGGACACUGGGAGAGACCAGGGUUCGAAUCCCCACUCAGCCA